This 253-nucleotide ribosomal RNA is filed under the name uncultured bacterium. RNAcentral describes it as "partial 16S ribosomal RNA". It matches the Rfam family "Bacterial small subunit ribosomal RNA", at positions 524 to 776 of the family's 1533-position model. The record is from RNAcentral.
CACGUAGGGCGCAAGCGUUGUCCGGAAUCAUUGGGCGUAAAGCGCGCGUAGGUGGCCACAUAAGUCCGUUGUGAAAGUCAAAGGCUCAACCUUUGAAAGCCGAUGGAUACUGUGUGGCUAGAGUACGGAAGAGGCGAGUGGAAUUCCUGGUGUAGCGGUGGAAUGCGCAGAUAUCAGGAGGAACACCAAUAGCGAAGGCAGCUCGCUGGGACGUUACUGACACUGAGGCGCGAAAGCGUGGGGAGCGAACAGG